This 465-nucleotide ribosomal RNA is filed under the name uncultured bacterium. RNAcentral's name for it is "partial 16S ribosomal RNA". It matches the Rfam family "Bacterial small subunit ribosomal RNA", at positions 28 to 507 of the family's 1533-position model. The record is from RNAcentral.
GACGAACGCUGGCGGCGUGCUUAACACAUGCAAGUCGUACGGUAAGGCCCUUUCGGGGGUACACGAGUGGCGAACGGGUGAGUAACACGUGAGUAACCUGCCCACAACUUUGGGAUAACGCUAGGAAACUGGUGCUAAUACUGGAUAUGUGCUCCUGCUGCAUGGUGGGGGUUGGAAAGCUCCGGCGGUUGUGGAUGGACUCGCGGCCUAUCAGCUUGUUGGUGGGGUAGUGGCCUACCAAGGCGGCGGCGGGUAGCCGGCCUGAGAGGGUGACCGGCCACAUUGGGACUGAGAUACGGCCCAGACUCCUACGGGAGGCAGCAGGGGGGAAUAUUGCACAAUGGGCGCAAGCCUGAUGCAGCAACGCCGCGUGCGGGAUGACGGCCUUCGGGUUGGAAACCGCUUUCAGCAGGGACGAAGCUUUUUGUGACGGUACCUGCAGAAGAAGCACCGGCUAACUACGUG